UACGGAGGGGACUAGCGUUGUUCGGAAUUACUGGGCGUAAAGCGCACGUAGGCGGCUUUGUAAGUCAGGGGUGAAAUCCCGGGGCUCAACCUCGGAACUGCCCUUGAUACUGCAAAUCUCGAGUCCGGAAGAGGUGAGUGGAAUUCCUAGUGUAGAGGUGAAAUUCGUAGAUAUUAGGAAGAACACCAGUGGCGAAGGCGGCUCACUGGUCCGGUACUGACGCUGAGGUGCGAAAGCGUGGGGAGCAAACAGG
RNAcentral lists this ribosomal RNA (253 nucleotides) under uncultured bacterium. Its description in RNAcentral is "partial 16S ribosomal RNA". It matches the Rfam family "Bacterial small subunit ribosomal RNA", at positions 524 to 776 of the family's 1533-position model. The record is from RNAcentral.